GUUCGCGGGGCUCCGGUGCCGCUGACCCCGCCAACCGUUUUCUCCCGCCGGGAAAAGCAGCAGAAAAUGGCGCUGAGAGCGCGGGAUCGGCGUCGGGACCGGGUUGAGGCAGCCAACAAGAGAAACGCCUGUGUGAGGAGCGGGGGAUGCUUAAGGGUACCACAACAAAGAUGGCGGCUCAGCCGGGAGUGGCUUCUGCCAGUACCAAAGAUUGCGGAGAGGAAAUCCAGGAGAAACGGCUGCUGGCAUCCUGGGCUUGCCAGGCAGGUUUUGUACUUGAUUGCAAGGCAGUUUUCCUGCCUCUGCAAGGGGUGAAAACUGGAAAGGGGGGACAAAAAAGGGUCACUUUUACGCCACACCCAAGAUGGCGGCUCAGGGCGGCACUCACUUGCCCUUCCGAUGAUGGCGGCAGUGUGCUCAUGCGCCUUGGGUAAGGGGAAGAGAGGGCGGUACAGGAAAUACCCCGCUCCGUCUGAUGGUAAGAGUGCUUUCUCCUGGGUCUGGGCGGCAUUGAGGUCGCAACGAGUUCCAAAUUAUCCUUGUGCCUCUCCUGUUGUGACUAAAUCGGUGUUCCCUGAGUGUCUGCAGCUCCCUGCGUGUGGAGGGAAGAAGCCUGUGCUGGAGAAUGGGAGGAAGGUCCCUGCUGGUUGCUGUGUCCUCGGUGGGCACAGAACUCUGGCCAGAUGGCUUGGACAAGGAGAACCACUGAAGUUGUCCUGGCCUUGCCAAGGUGUUUGAGCUGCCAAACCCAAACUGGUCCUGAUGAUGGAGGACUUAAGAAAUUACUCAAUCCAGCUAAAUGCUUUAAAAAGGCAGAUGGUUUGGUUAUAGAAAUAUUUCUGCCUGAGACUGGGAAGAGAUUGGGAAAAGUUAAACCCCCCAAUUCUGCAUAACAGCACAAGGAUUUUUUAAUUCUUUGCCUUUUUUUCCCUUCCUUUGAAUGGGUUUGUUUGUUUCCCCUUGGAGACUGCACACAUAAUAGGCAGAUUUUUCAAUUAAGCCAUUUUUUCCCACUUUUAGUCUUCAAUGGAGCCCAGGUGCCAAUUGUUUGCUGCUUGGUUUCUGCCUUCCCUUUCCUGCCUACAGCUUAAGCCCUUUCUCUCCUUCCUGCUUUUUGGCCAUCACUGGUCAUGCAGAUGAUGCUGAUGCAGAUGGCUGAUAAAUAAUUAUCAAACAGCUUGGGAAUGGUCUGUAUCAGCUAUCAGUGACAUUAAAAAAUGCAGUAUAUGGACCAUCAAGCAAUGAAUUUAGCAACAGUUGGAUAGUAACUAAUCAUCUUUCCUUUGAAGCCCUCUUCAUAGCAUAUUUCCUUAUAAAGGGAAAGCAUUUGGUUUUUAUUUUAUAAAAUACUACAAAUCACCAGCAGCCAGCUUAAGCGAGCAUGGCAGACUGACAAAGACAUGGUAAUGUUUUUUCUUUUAAAUCCCUCACAAGCCCAUCCCCUACUGGGGAGGCAGCUCAGCGAGUUUCAGCCCACAGCUGCCAUCCUGUGCUCAUGGAGAGCAACCUCUCCAGCUGUCCCAGCCUCAGGAAAGCACAGAAGAGGGCUUUACACAGAUCAGGGAUUAAGCUAGACCCAGGUUGGGCUCAGCUCAGUCACCAUGGCGCUGUUAGAGGCCUUAAACCCUUUUUCUAUCGGAUUGAUUGAUGGUGGUUGUGGUGCAGCCACUGUGUUGCUGUCAAUGUGCUCCCCUGCAGCCUAGGUUGACACGGUGAGCAGGGGCUUGGGGUUCUGUCUCAUGUGUGAAACAUCAAACCAGAAGAUAAAACAACAGCUAAAAGCCCUGCCCUGCCAUGUGCCUCACUCUGCACCACUGCUAUGAGAGGAGGGUGAAAGACCCAGUCAGUUUUAGCUCUGUAAAGCAGCUGCAGAGCAGUGAUGAGUGCCUGAAUCACAUCCCCUGCAGCCAUCAGGGGAGUGAGGGCAGGGAAAAGGGCAGAGAAAGGGAAAUAAAAAACCAACAGAGCCACCAAGACUGGAGGAUGUGAGGAUGAAUCCAAAACUAUGCUCUCCAAGAACUGAAAGAACACAUUUCUUAAAACAAGACAUCCAAACUGGAAUGAGGGACUUGCACUCUUUCCAGAUCUUCCCAGCACCAUAACCCAUUAAAAAAAAAAAAAAAAAAAAAAAA
Molecule: long non-coding RNA, 2132 nt
Organism: Agelaius phoeniceus (red-winged blackbird)
Lineage: Eukaryota; Metazoa; Chordata; Aves; Passeriformes; Icteridae
Source: RefSeq, a predicted model, not a curated record